This is a long non-coding RNA of Hemicordylus capensis (graceful crag lizard), 2190 nucleotides long. RefSeq lists it as uncharacterized. The transcript is spliced from 2 exons. Lineage: Eukaryota; Metazoa; Chordata; Lepidosauria; Squamata; Cordylidae. The record is from RefSeq and is a predicted model, not a curated record.
UAAGGCUGUUGAUGAUAAGGCAUCAUCAAGCAUCAUCAAGCAUCAUCAAGCAUCUUCUCAAUUAAACAAGCUGUUCUAGUAAGAACUAAUCUGCCUACUUUCCUUUCACAACUGGACAAAAUUUGGUCCAAACCAGUUAGGCAGUUCACAGAAAAUAGGAGAAGGAUUGAAGGAAGAACUGCAGAUCAAGGAGAAAGAACAUCAGAAAGGUGCCACAGAAGCCCUGAAAAAUAACUGGAGAAGACUCAAUAAGAACAUAAGAACAGCCCUGCUGGAUCAGGCCCAAGGCCCAUCUAGUCCAGCAUCCUGUUUCGCACAGUGGCCCACCCGAUACCGCUGGAAGCCACAGACAGGAGUUGAGGGCAUGCCCUCUCUCCUGCCAUUACUCCCCUGCAACUGGUACUCAGAGGCACCCUGCCUUUGAGGCUGGAGGUGGCCCACAGCCCUCCGACUAGUAGCCAUUGAUAGACCUCUCCUCCAUGAAGUCAUCCAAACCCCUCUUAAAGCCAUCCAGGUUGUUGGCUGUCACCACAUCCUGUGGCAGAGAGUUCCACAAGUGGAUCAUGUUUUGUGUGAAAAAGUACUUCCGUUUGUUGAUCCUAGACCUCCUGGCAAUCAAUUUCAUGGAGUGACCCCUGGUUCUAGUGUUGUGUGAGAGGAAAAAGAAUCUCUCUCUCUCCACUUUCUCCACACCAUGCAUUACCUUAUAGACCUUUAUCAUGUCUCCCCACAGUUGUCUUUUUUCUAAACUAAAAAGCCCCAGGUGUUGUAGUCUUGCUACAACAGUGUUGUAGUCUAAGAAGCAGGAGAGACAAAACUUGCAGGUGCCCCUCCUUGGGGCUGGCUGGCUGGUUUCAUGCUUUUCUUCAUGACUGAAGGCAAUUCCAUCACACAAAAUAUCCCCACAUCGCUGUGAGGCAGCUGCAACCUGAAGACGGUGGUUGUCUCCAAAGGACUUGUGGCAUCUAAACAUUGGCAGAGCUCCAUGAAGCUGCUUAGCCUGUCAGCUGGUGGGGGUUUCCAAAGAGCGGCAUGCUUGAGGGGCAGUUUUCUGUCCGUUCAGUCUUCACGCCUGACCUCGUGUCUCUGCUACUUCCUGCUCUGAGAAGUCCCCAAGAUACUUGGAGUGUGGUUUUCUUCAUACCUGUGUUGAUAUCUCUGCUCUGGAUUGCUCAGAGCAACCACUGAGAUGAGCGCGGAGCCGCUGGCCUUGGUUGUGUCCAGGGUUUUAUCCUGGAUGGCUUCUCCGCCCCCCAUUAUUUCUGUAUGCUGCUUGCAAUAUUGUUUAAAUACAAACUUAAAAUACGUUAAAAGCUAAAACAUAAAUAGCUGUUGCUUAGGAUAACAUCUAAAAGUAUAGGAUACCUGUAAUAUAAGACGUAGGAUAAAAUUUAACAGGAUAGGAUAAAAUCUAAAAAGAAUGAAAUAUUGUAUUAUAAUAUAAGAAAUAAAAUCUAUUAAUUAGGAAGGCUAAUGGAAAAUAGAAUGAAGCAUUAUAGCAAUAGCAAUAGCACUUACAUUUAUAUACCGCUCUAUAGCCGGAGCUCUCUAAGCGGUUUACAAUGAUUUAGCAUAUUGCCCCCAACAUUCUGGGUACUCAUUUUACCGACCUCGGAAGGAUGGAAGGCUGAGUCAACCUUGAGCCCCUGGUCAGGAUUGAACUUGUAACCUUCUGGUUACAGGGCGGCAGUUUUACCACUGCUCUACCGGGGGCUCAAAGCAGAUUAGAUAUUUUAGACCAACUAGUGUAUUAAAAUAAUAUUCAAAGCAGCAUAUGAAAAUGAUGAGAAAAAGCACAUUGAUACUAAAAGCCUCAAAGGCCAGAACACAUGCAACUGAUUGCUCCUAGGACCAGUCCCUCAGGUAGCUCUUAAGUGGCUCCUGGUCUCGUCCUGCUAGGAUCCUACAGACUUCCCCAUCUUGAUCCGCGGGGGGGGGGGGGGGUUUGAUGUAGAAAUAAAGAUCAUUAUUAAUUGUCUUUGUAUAGCUUUGCUUACUGACAUGCUUAUAGGAUGCUGAAGAUGGUAUUUCUGUCAAGCACACAGAAUUGAUCCUUAUUCCAAGUUGUCUUAAUCUGUGUUUUAUUGUAAAUGGCCCAGAGACAUGAGUCUUGGGUGGUAUACAAAUAUGCUAAAUAAAAAGUUGUCAAUAUUGUCUGCUAGAAUUAAAGGUUGCCAUAGUUUGUUGGAA